UAGCUAGUUGAGUGAGUAAAAAAAUAAUGGUUCAAAUUGGGAAUACCCGAGCUAGCUAGCUAGCAGCCUCAUCAAUGAUAAGCUGCAAUAUAUAUCAACACCUCUAAUAUUUUCAUAUUAAUUCGUUCUUCUCAUCUCUUCAGUCUCCCUUCCUUCUCACCAAAAUACUUUCUAAUGGCUGUAACUAUGAGGGUAACAACACCUUUAAUUUGCUUCUUUUUUUUAGCUUCAAUUGUCUUUCUCACUAAUAUGGUCCAGUGCGGAAGAUCCAACAUUACAAUUGAGACUAUUCAUGGAGAAUUGUAAGAUUCUGUGGAUAUCUACAAACAACAGACUCUUCUUGAUCCAAAACUGGGGACAGAAAGACUUAAAGAGGACCAUCGCGGAGGAGCUGGAAAGACAAAGAUUGAAAGCUAUGCAACCAAGACCUAAUUUUACAUAGUAUUAGAGCAAACAAGAUCUUCAUAGCUUUCACGGUCAUUUUUUGAAAUCCUGAAUUUCACUCCUCAUUUUUCUUGUGAAUCAUUUUUCUGGAAACUAAUCUCAGCUCUACAGUUGUUGAUUCA
Long non-coding RNA from Capsicum annuum, 566 nucleotides. RefSeq lists it as uncharacterized. The record is from RefSeq and is a predicted model, not a curated record. The transcript is spliced from 3 exons. Lineage: Eukaryota; Viridiplantae; Streptophyta; Magnoliopsida; Solanales; Solanaceae.